GACGAACGCUGGCGGCGUGCCUAAUACAUGCAAGUCGAACGCUUCUUUCCUCCCGAGUGCUUGCACUCAAUUGGAAAGAGGAGUGGCGGACGGGUGAGUAACACGUGGGUAACCUACCCAUCAGAGGGGGAUAACACUUGGAAACAGGUGCUAAUACCGCAUAACAGUUUAUGCCGCAUGGCAUAAGAGUGAAAGGCGCUUUCGGGUGUCGUUGAUGGAUGGACCCGCGGUGCAUUAGCUAGUUGGUGAGGUAACGGCUCACCAAGGCCACGAUGCAUAGCCGACCUGAGGGGGUGAUCGGCAACACUGGGACUGAGACACGGCCCAGACUCCUAAGGGAGGCAGCAGUAGGGAAUCGUCGGCAAUGGACGAAAGUCUGACCGAGCAACGCCGCGUGAGUGAAGAAGGUGUUCGGAUCGUAAAACUCUGUUGUUAGAGAAGAACAAGGACGUUAGUAACUGAACGUCGCCUGACGGUAUCUAACCAGAAAGCCACGGCUAACUACGUG
This 508-nucleotide ribosomal RNA is filed under the name uncultured bacterium. RNAcentral's name for it is "partial 16S ribosomal RNA". It matches the Rfam family "Bacterial small subunit ribosomal RNA", at positions 28 to 507 of the family's 1533-position model. The record is from RNAcentral.